GUCGGGUGCAGUGGCGCAUGCCUGUAGUUCCAGCUACUUGGGAGGCUGAAGUGGGAGGAUCGCUUGAGCCCAGGAGUUCUGGGCUGUAGUGCACUAUGCCGAUCAGGUGUCUGCACUAAGUUUGGCAUCAAUAUGGUGACCUCCCAGGACGGGGAUCACCAGGUUGCCUAAGGAGGGGUGAACCGGCCCAGGUCAGAAGCGAGCUGGUCAAAACUCCUGUGCUGAUCAGUAGAGGGAUCGCACCUAUGAAUAGCUACUGCACUCCAGCCUGGGCAACAUAGCAAGACCCCAUCUCU
Molecule: signal recognition particle RNA, 296 nt
Filed under: Aotus nancymaae (Ma's night monkey)
Lineage: Eukaryota; Metazoa; Chordata; Mammalia; Primates; Aotidae
Description: Metazoan signal recognition particle RNA (ENSANAG00000005716.1)
Rfam family: Metazoan signal recognition particle RNA
About the family: The signal recognition particle (SRP) is a universally conserved ribonucleoprotein. It is involved in the co-translational targeting of proteins to membranes.
Source: RNAcentral